GGCGGCGUAGCUCAGUUGGCUAGAGCACGCGGUUCAUACCCGCGGUGUCACCGGUUCGAAUCCAGUCGCCGCUACCA
RNAcentral lists this transfer RNA (77 nucleotides) under bacterium. RNAcentral's name for it is "tRNA-Met". It matches the Rfam family "tRNA". Rfam says of the family: Transfer RNA (tRNA) molecules are approximately 80 nucleotides in length. Their secondary structure includes four short double-helical elements and three loops (D, anti-codon, and T loops). RNAcentral also lists the same sequence under 3 other names. The record is from RNAcentral.